RNAcentral lists this transfer RNA (83 nucleotides) under Arthonia susa. RNAcentral describes it as "tRNA-Leu". The record is from RNAcentral. Lineage: Eukaryota; Fungi; Ascomycota; Arthoniomycetes; Arthoniales; Arthoniaceae.
AAGGUAUUAAACAGAAAAUAUUAUUAUAUAAAUAGUUUUAUAUAUAGCGAACCUACAAGCCUUUUUUUGUUUUUAUAUAGAUA